Molecule: transfer RNA, 75 nt
Filed under: Candidatus Nucleicultrix amoebiphila FS5
Lineage: Bacteria; Pseudomonadati; Pseudomonadota; Alphaproteobacteria; Holosporales; Nucleicultricaceae (SeqCode)
Also listed under: 3 other names
Description: tRNA-Val
Rfam family: tRNA
About the family: Transfer RNA (tRNA) molecules are approximately 80 nucleotides in length.
Source: RNAcentral
GGGCGCAUAGCUCAGUGGGAGAGCACUACGUUGACAUCGUAGGGGUCGCUGGUUCAAUCCCGGCUGCGCCCACCA